This 450-nucleotide ribosomal RNA is filed under the name uncultured bacterium. RNAcentral describes it as "partial 16S ribosomal RNA". It matches the Rfam family "Bacterial small subunit ribosomal RNA", at positions 338 to 795 of the family's 1533-position model. The record is from RNAcentral.
CCUACGGGGGGCUGCAGUAAGGAAUAUUGGUCAAUGGACGCAAGUCUGAACCAGCCAUGCCGCGUGGAGGAUGAAGGUCCUCUGGAUUGUAAACUUCUUUUAUUUGGGAAGAAACUCCCGAUUUCCAUCGGGAUUGACGGUACCAGAUGAAUCAGCACCGGCUACCUCCGUGCCAGCAGCCGCGGUACUACGGAGGGUGCAGGCGUUACUCGGAUUCACUGGGUUUAAGGUGUGCGUAGGUGGCAAGGGUGAAAUCUCCGGGCUUAACCCGGAAACUGCCAUUGAUACUAUUGGUCUUGAAUACUCUGGAGGUGAGCGGAAUAUGUCAUGUAGCGGUGAAAUGCUUAGAUAUGACAUAGAACACCCAUUGCGAAGGCAGCUCACUACGGAAAUAUUGACGCUGAGGCACGAAAGCGUGGGGAUCAAACAGGAUUAGAUACCCUAGUAGUC